Molecule: ribosomal RNA, 253 nt
Filed under: uncultured bacterium
Lineage: Bacteria
Description: partial 16S ribosomal RNA
Rfam family: Bacterial small subunit ribosomal RNA
Source: RNAcentral
UACAGAGGUCCCAAGUGUUGUUCGGAUUCAUUGGGCGUAAAGGGUGCGUAGGUGGCGUCGUAAGUCGGGUGUGAAAUCUCGGGGCUUAACUCCGAAACUGCAUUCGAUACUGCCGUGCUUGAGGACUGGAGAGGAGACUGGAAUUUACGGUGUAGCGGUGAAAUGCGUAGAUAUCGUAAGGAAGACCAGUGGCGAAGGCGGGUCUCUGGACAGUUCCUGACGCUGAGGCACGAAGGCCAGGGGAGCAAACGGG